ACAAUGGAGAGUUUGAUCCUGGCUCAGGAUGAACGCUAGCGGCAGGCCUAAUACAUGCAAGUCGAGC
Molecule: non-coding RNA, 67 nt
Organism: Algoriphagus sp. A40
Lineage: Bacteria; Pseudomonadati; Bacteroidota; Cytophagia; Cytophagales; Cyclobacteriaceae
Source: Rfam